This 825-nucleotide small RNA is filed under the name Pan troglodytes (chimpanzee). Its description in RNAcentral is "processed transcript". Lineage: Eukaryota; Metazoa; Chordata; Mammalia; Primates; Hominidae. The record is from RNAcentral.
UCCCACACAGAUGGGACACGGCUUAGGAGGAAUCCCGGGCUGCGGGCAUUCCUUGGCCCAGUGGCCAGAUUUCUGGAUGUGUAGCAAGCUCCUAUGGGAGGAGGUUCUGGAGGAACGCCUGGCCGCUGCAGUUCAGGCGUUUGGAAGUUCUUGUGUGCUGGAGAUGUGGCUGGGGUUUGUCUCACAGUGGAGGCAAGGAAUUGCAACUUUUUUCUAUUAUGGUACACCUUGAAGAAAGCAACCCCAAAGAAAUACUCACAGUUCAGUGCCGAUGUGGCCGAGGCCAUUGCCUUCUUUGACUCCAUCAUUGCAGAGCUGGAUACAGAGAGACGACCCCGGGCUGCUGAGGCCAGCCUGCCAAAUGAAGAUGUGGACUUUGACGUGGCCACCAGCUCCAGGGAGCACAGCUUGCAUUCUAACUGGAUCCUGCGGGCACCACGCAGACACUCCGAGGAUAUCGCUGCCCACACUGUGCAUACUGUAGAUGGCCAGUUUCGAAGGAGCACUGAGCGCAGGACCGUGGGCACUCAGAGGAGACUCGAGAGGCACCCCAUUUAUUUGCCCAAGGCUGUGGAAGGGGCCUUCAACACCUGGAAAUUUAAGCCCAAAGCCUGCAAAAAAGACCUGGGGAGCUCCAGACAGAUCCUUUUCAACUUCUCAGGAGAAGAUAUGGAGUGGGAUGCAGAGCUCUUUGCGUUGGAGCCCCAGUUGUCUCCUGGGGAGGACUACUAUGAGACAGAGAACCCCAAAGGACAGUGGCUGCUUCGAGAAAGACUUUGGGAGCGGACGGUGCCCUGACUCCAUCUGGAUUCCUUGACGUGUCUC